Molecule: ribosomal RNA, 454 nt
Filed under: uncultured marine eukaryote
Lineage: Eukaryota
Description: SSU rRNA
Rfam family: Eukaryotic small subunit ribosomal RNA
Source: RNAcentral
UUAAAAAGCUCGUAGUCGGAUGUCGGGCUCGGGCAAGCUGUCGGCCUUUGGUCGGACGGCAGGCUCGGGUCUUUCUGCCUGAGGAACCCGGUUGCUUUAACGAGCUGCCGGUGGACGCAGGUCGUUUACUUUGAAAAAAUUAGAGUGUUCAAAGCAGGCUAGCGCUCGAAUACAUUAGCAUGGAAUAAUGGAAUAGGACUUUGGUGCUAUUUUGUUGGUUUAUGGGACCGAAGUAAUGAUUAACAGGGACAGUUGGGGCCGUUUAUAUUUCGUUGUCAGAGGUGAAAUUCUUGGAUUUACGAAAGAUAAACUUCUGCGAAAGCAUUCGGCAAGGAUGUUUUCAUUGAUCAAGAACGAAAGUUAGGGGAUCGAAGACGAUCAGAUACCGUCGUAGUCUUAACCAUAAACUAUGCCGACUAGGGAUCAGUGGAUGUCAAUUUGCGACUCCAUUGGC